AUUUAAAUGGCUUAUAUUUAGAGCGUAAUAUUGAAAAUAUUAAGGAAAAGUCCAUGUUUUUAAAUA
This 66-nucleotide transfer RNA is filed under the name Bombus terrestris (buff-tailed bumblebee). RNAcentral describes it as "tRNA-Phe". Lineage: Eukaryota; Metazoa; Arthropoda; Insecta; Hymenoptera; Apidae. The record is from RNAcentral.